GACGAACGCUGGCGGCGUGCCUAAUACAUGCAAGUUGAGCGCUGAAGGUUGGUACUUGUACCAACUGGAUGAGCAGCGAACGGGUGAGUAACGCGUGGGGAAUCUGCCUUUGAGCGGGGGACAACAUUUGGAAACGAAUGCUAAUACCGCAUAAAAACUUUAAACACAAGUUUUAAGUUUGAAAGAUGCAAUUGCAUCACUCAAAGAUGAUCCCGCGUUGUAUUAGCUAGUUGGUGAGGUAAAGGCUCACCAAGGCGAUGAUACAUAGCCGACCUGAGAGGUUGGUCGGCAACUGUGGGACUGAGACACGGCCAAAACUCCUCGGGGAGGCGGCAGGGGGGAUUAUGGGGAAAUGGACGAAAGUCUAACCGGGCAACGCGGGGGGAGGGAAGAGGGUUUUCGGAUCGAAAAACUCUGGGGGAAGAGAAGAGCGUGGGUGGGGGGGAAAAGCUCAUCAAGUGACGGAAACUACCAAGAAGGGGACGGCUAACUAGGGC
This 497-nucleotide ribosomal RNA is filed under the name uncultured bacterium. RNAcentral's name for it is "partial 16S ribosomal RNA". It matches the Rfam family "Bacterial small subunit ribosomal RNA", at positions 28 to 508 of the family's 1533-position model. The record is from RNAcentral.